GAUGAACGCUAGCGGAAGGCUUAAUACAUGCAAGUCGAGCGGUAGGUGGCUUCGGCCAUUGAGAGCGGCGCACGGGUGAGUAACGCGUACAUGACCUGCCUGUCAGAAGGGGAUAGCCCUGGGAAACUGGGAUUAAUACCCUAUGGUAUUGAUAUUAUGAAUGAUAUCAAUUAAAGUUGAGGCGCUGACAGAUGGAUGUGCGUCUGAUUAGCUAGUUGGUAGGGUAACGGCCUACCAAGGCGACGAUCAGUAGGGGGCGUGAGAGCGUGGUCCCCCACACGGGUACUGAGACACGGACCCGACUCCUACGGGAGGCAGCAGUAAGGAAUAUUGGUCAAUGCCCGCAAGGGUGAACCAGCCAUUCCGCGUGGAGGAUGAAGGCCCUAUGGGUUGUAAACUUCUUUUAGAUGGGAAGAAAAUGCUAGAUGUAUCUGGUACUGACGGUACCAUCAGAAUAAGCACCGGCUAACUCCGUGCCAGCAGCCGCGGUAA
This 492-nucleotide ribosomal RNA is filed under the name uncultured bacterium. RNAcentral's name for it is "bacterial SSU rRNA". It matches the Rfam family "Bacterial small subunit ribosomal RNA", at positions 28 to 523 of the family's 1533-position model. The record is from RNAcentral.